RNAcentral lists this long non-coding RNA (610 nucleotides) under Capsicum annuum. RNAcentral describes it as "long non-coding RNA (CANN_LNC000072)". Lineage: Eukaryota; Viridiplantae; Streptophyta; Magnoliopsida; Solanales; Solanaceae. The record is from RNAcentral.
UUUCAACUGAACGUCAAAUAUUAUUUUUCUCUAAUCUUAAUCAAUCUUGUCUAGACGACCACUUAGUGUCACAUUUCUACAAAGGAUUGUCUGCUAGAAUAGUGCACCAUGCUGACUUAUGUUCUAAAAGUUACGCGAGGAUGUCCAAGAAAACUCUCGAUUGAAGUUGAACGUAAUCUCCUUAACUCCUCGUACUUGGACAAGGAAACUGAGAAGCAGAAGAUGAAUCUCAAUUGGUUAAAAACUCAGCUUGAUGGGAUUAAAUAUGUGAUAAAUUGCAUCGUUGAGAUAACUUUUUUCCCUCAACAAUCCAAUUUGUCGCAUCUCCAAUCUCAUCAAGUUGACUUCUUAACCAAUAGAUAUUCACCUUCACCCUCUCAGCGUCCUUGACAACCAAGUAACAGGAGUCAAGCAAGAUUACGGUCAAUUUAAGAGCAUUUCUUUGGUGGUCUUGGACAACCUCACAUAUAACCUUUAGAACAGAAGUCUGAAUGGAUCCAACUCUAGCAGAUAACCCUCUGUAGAAAUGCGAUACUAAUGGAUUCUUGGACUUGCUGAAGUAAAUUGGCACUGAGAGAUGUCUUUUUUUCCCCCCGAUUUACUGUAUUUU